This 389-nucleotide ribosomal RNA is filed under the name uncultured bacterium. RNAcentral describes it as "bacterial SSU rRNA". It matches the Rfam family "Bacterial small subunit ribosomal RNA", at positions 30 to 417 of the family's 1533-position model. The record is from RNAcentral.
AUUGAACGCUGGCGGCAUGCCUUACACAUGCAAGUCGAACGGCAGCACGGGUGCUUGCACCUGGUGGCGAGUGGCGAACGGGUGAGUAAUAUAUCGGAACGUACCUUAUUGUGGGGGAUAACGCAGCGAAAGCUGUGCUAAUACCGCAUAAUCCCUAAGGGGGAAAGCGGGGGACCGUAAGGCCUCGCGCAAUUAGAGCGGCCGAUACCUGAUUAGCUAGUUGGUGAGGUAAAGGCUCACCAAGGCGACGAUCAGUAGCUGGUCUGAGAGGACGAUCAGCCACACUGGGACUGAGACACGGCCCAGACUCCUACGGGAGGCAGCAGUGGGGAAUUUUGGACAAUGGGGGCAACCCUGAUCCAGCAAUGCCGCGUGAGUGAAGAAGGCCU